UGAGGAUGUAAAUUUUUUAUUUUGAGUAGUAUUAGUUAUUUUCUUGAAACUUAAAGAAUUUGGCGGUAUUUUUUACCAUUCAGAGGAAUCUGUCUUGUAAUCGAUAGUCCGCGUUGAACCUUUCUUUUUUCCUUUUUGUAUACCUCCGUUGUAGGAGAAUUUUUUAAGAAUUUAAAUUUUCAAUUGAUUUUUUAUGUAUUUUAUUUCAGGUCAAGGUGCAGAUUUUAUUGAAGUUUUGAUGGAUUACAUUGUUUAUUAAAUUUUAUUUGGAUUUUUUUUUGAAAUUUUUAUGAAAUUGGAUUUGGUUGUAAUUUUAUGUAGAUUGUUAUUAUGAAAUGGUUCUGGAAUAUGU
Molecule: ribosomal RNA, 352 nt
Filed under: Ectobiidae sp. 'Anaplectidae' 2 FL-2016
Lineage: Eukaryota; Metazoa; Arthropoda; Insecta; Blattodea; Ectobiidae
Description: 12S ribosomal RNA
Source: RNAcentral